AUGAACGCUGGCGGCGUGCCUAAUACCUGCAAGUCGCGCGAACAGACGAGGAGCUUGCUCCUCUGACGUUAGCGGCGGACGGGUGAGUAACACGUGGAUAACCUACCUAUAAGACUGGGAUAACUUCGGGAAACCGGAGCUAAUACCGGAUAAUAUAUUGAACCGCAUGGUUCAAUAGUGAAAGACGGUUUUGCUGUCACUUAUAGAUGGAUCCGCGCCGCAUUAGCUAGUUGGUAAGGUAACGGCUUACCAAGGCAACGAUGCGUAGCCGACCUGAGAGGGUGAUCGGCCACACUGGAACUGAGACACGGUCCAGACUCCUACGGGAGGCAGCAGUAGGGAAUCUUCCGCAAUGGGCGAAAGCCUGACGGAGCAACGCCGCGUGAGUGAUGAAGGUCUUCGGAUCGUAAAACUCUGUUAUUAGGGAAGAACAAAUGUGUAAGUAACUAUGCACGUCUUGACGGUACCUAAUCAGAAAGCCACGGUUAACUACGUG
This 496-nucleotide ribosomal RNA is filed under the name uncultured bacterium. RNAcentral describes it as "partial 16S ribosomal RNA". It matches the Rfam family "Bacterial small subunit ribosomal RNA", at positions 29 to 507 of the family's 1533-position model. The record is from RNAcentral.